RNAcentral lists this long non-coding RNA (507 nucleotides) under Salmo salar (Atlantic salmon). RNAcentral describes it as "lncRNA (ENSSSAG00000103885.1)". Lineage: Eukaryota; Metazoa; Chordata; Actinopteri; Salmoniformes; Salmonidae. The record is from RNAcentral.
AGAGCUCCUGGAAGUAGAUGACUGAGAAAAUGACAUGAGUUCAGUGGCGCACACUCACAUGAGUUAGCUAUGUUCCUUUUCUUUUUUGAAGACAUUGGAAUUGUCCGGUUGGAAUAUUACUGAAGAUUUAUGAUAAAAGCAUCCUAAAGAUUGAUGCUAUACAUCGUUUGACAUGUUUCUACGAACCUUUCAAAACAGCAUCAGACCAAACACUACUCACUCAGUUCCAGGUUGGUGUAACGGCUGUCUUCGUCGUCCUCAGAUGAAGGGGAAGAGAAAUCAGACCAAAAUGCAGCGUGUGGGGCUUCACACAUCCAGAUAAAGAGAAAGAGGAAAAAGGAGAGAGAGAGGAGAGGAAAGAAGAGAGAGAGAAGAAGGAGAGAGAGAGAGAUGUUUGCCAAGACUCUAAAGGACAUGACACUUGGUAGACAAACACCCCAAGCCGCACUUGACACAGGACAGAUGAUCACCCACUGCAACACCAAGGAGCCCCAGGCCCCCUCAACA